GAUGAACGCUGGCGGCGUGCCUAAUACAUGCAAGUCGAGCGAACAGACGAGGAGCUUGCUCCUCUGACGUUAGCGGCGGACGGGCGAGUAACACGUGGAUAACCUACCUAUAAGACUGGGAUAACUUCGGGAAACCGGAGCUAAUACCGGAUAAUAUAUUGAACCGCAUGGUUCAAUAGUGAAAGACGGUUUUGCUGUCACUUAUACAUGGAUCCGCGCCGCAUUAGCUAGUUGGUAAGGUAACGGCUUACCAAGGCAACGAUGCGUAGCCGACCUGAGAGGGUGAUCGGCCACACUGGAACUGAGACACGGUCCAGACUCCUACGGGAGGCAGCAGUAGGGAAUCUUCCGCAAUGGGCGAAAGCCUGACGGAGCAACGCCGCGUGAGUGAUGAAGGUCUUCGGAUCGUAAAACUCUGUUAUUAGGGAAGAACAAAUGUGUAAGUAACUAUGCACGUCUUGACGGUACCUAAUCAGAAAGCCACGGCUAACUACGUG
RNAcentral lists this ribosomal RNA (497 nucleotides) under uncultured bacterium. RNAcentral's name for it is "partial 16S ribosomal RNA". It matches the Rfam family "Bacterial small subunit ribosomal RNA", at positions 28 to 507 of the family's 1533-position model. The record is from RNAcentral.